Molecule: ribosomal RNA, 253 nt
Filed under: uncultured bacterium
Lineage: Bacteria
Description: partial 16S ribosomal RNA
Rfam family: Bacterial small subunit ribosomal RNA
Source: RNAcentral
UACGGGGGGGGUAAGCGUUGUUCGGAAUUACUGGGCGUAAAGGGCUCGUAGGUGGUCAACUAAGUCGGACGUGAAAUCCCUCGGCUUAACCGGGGAACUGCGUCCGAUACUGGAUGACUUGAGUUCGGGAGAGGGAUGCGGAAUUCCAGGUGUAGCGGUGAAAUGCGUAGAUAUCUGGAGGAACACCGGUGGCGAAGGCGGCAUCCUGGACCGACACUGACGCUGAGGAGCGAAAGCCAGGGGAGCAAACGGG